This 461-nucleotide ribosomal RNA is filed under the name uncultured Methanomicrobiales archaeon. Its description in RNAcentral is "bacterial SSU rRNA". It matches the Rfam family "Archaeal small subunit ribosomal RNA", at positions 878 to 1338 of the family's 1478-position model. The record is from RNAcentral. Lineage: Archaea; Methanobacteriati; Methanobacteriota; Methanomicrobia; Methanomicrobiales.
ACCACAACAGGUGGAGCCUGCGGUUUAAUCGGACUCAACGCCGGGAAACUCACCAGAUAAGACAGCUGAAUGAUAGUCGGGCUGAAGACUCUACUUGACUAGCUGAGAGGAGGUGCAUGGCCGUCGUCAGUUCGUACUGUGAAGCAUCCUGUUAAGUCAGGCAGCGAGCGAGACCCACGCCAACAGUUGCCAGCUCGUCCUCCGGGAUGGUGGGGACACUGUUGGGACCGCCUCUGCUAAAGAGGAGGAAGGAAUGGGCAACGGUAGGUCAGCAUGCCCCGAAUUAUCUGGGCUACACGCGGGCUACAAUGGGUGGGACAAUGGGUAUCGACACCGAAAGGUGAAGGCAAUCUCCUAAACCCAUCCGUAGUUCGGAUUGUGGGCUGCAACUCGCCCACAUGAAGCUGGAAUCUGUAGUAAUCGUGUCUCAAAAUGGCACGGUGAAUAUGUCCCUGCUCCUU